RNAcentral lists this signal recognition particle RNA (148 nucleotides) under Gorilla gorilla gorilla (western lowland gorilla). RNAcentral's name for it is "Metazoan signal recognition particle RNA". It matches the Rfam family "Metazoan signal recognition particle RNA". Rfam says of the family: The signal recognition particle (SRP) is a universally conserved ribonucleoprotein. It is involved in the co-translational targeting of proteins to membranes. Lineage: Eukaryota; Metazoa; Chordata; Mammalia; Primates; Hominidae. The record is from Rfam by way of RNAcentral.
GCUGGGUGUGGUGGUGCACGCCUGUAGUCCUAGCUACCUGGGAGGCCGAGGCAGGAGGAUUGCUUGAGCCCCGGAGUCUGAGGCUGCAGUGAACUAUGAUUGUGCCACUGUACUCCAGCCUGGGUGACAGAGGAAGACCCUGUCUCUG